GAAGGCAUGGCUAAAAUGAAAAAGCACCUGCUUAGCAAGCAUGAUGUCCUGAAUUCAAACUCCAGUACUAUUU
RNAcentral lists this transfer RNA (73 nucleotides) under Dipodomys ordii (Ord's kangaroo rat). It matches the Rfam family "tRNA". From Rfam's summary of the family: Transfer RNA (tRNA) molecules are approximately 80 nucleotides in length. Their secondary structure includes four short double-helical elements and three loops (D, anti-codon, and T loops). Further hydrogen bonds mediate the characteristic L-shaped molecular structure. tRNAs have two regions of fundamental functional importance: the anti-codon, which is responsible for specific mRNA codon recognition, and the 3' end, to which the tRNAs corresponding amino acid is attached (by aminoacyl-tRNA synthetases). tRNAs cope with the degeneracy of the genetic code in two manners: having more than one tRNA (with a specific anti-codon) for a particular amino acid; and 'wobble' base-pairing, i.e. permitting non-standard base-pairing at the 3rd anti-codon position. Lineage: Eukaryota; Metazoa; Chordata; Mammalia; Rodentia; Heteromyidae. The record is from Rfam by way of RNAcentral.